CCGGUCUACUUCGCUGUGAGUGUCGCCUUUCAUUUCUCUUUCGCCAUACGUAAUAAAUUGUAACUUGCAGAGCUAAUCGCAGUAGGAUAGAUACAUGUCUGUCGUGUGCUACACUCAGUAUUCGAGCCAGAAUCUUCUGCCCAGUCCAGUGAAGGAGCAGGACGUAGCAAAGAACCAAUGACCUGCAGCCAGAUUCCAUAUGUAUAAGGACAAGCAAAGAACAAGUGAUCGCGUGACUCCUCUGGCUCGCCACAAAGAAACCAGCCUUGCACAAUCCCCCAAUCUCUCAUUCUAGUCCCUGUAGAGAGCCUAUCUUUGUUGCUAUCUUAGGAUAUUUCUCUUAUUUAUAUGAUUGUACGUAUACAAUAUUAUUAAUUAUAAGAUUCCCCCAAUCUCUCAUUCUAGUCCCUGUAGAGAGCCUAUCUUUGAUAGCCAACCAUGUGAUAAAAGCAUAUCGAGACACACCUUGCUUAAACCAGAUUAGCUUAGACCACGACACUAUGUCGUAUCGCGCACGGAUCAUGUUCCAAGUGUUGAAAGCAGAGAAAGACUUCUUGAACUCCUCUUCGCCGCUUUUCCAUGUCAC
RNAcentral lists this long non-coding RNA (586 nucleotides) under Brassica napus (rape). RNAcentral describes it as "long non-coding RNA (BNAP_LNC026998)". The record is from RNAcentral. Lineage: Eukaryota; Viridiplantae; Streptophyta; Magnoliopsida; Brassicales; Brassicaceae.